GGAGGGAGUUGCCAUGGAAACGGGGGACAACACCAACUGACAAACCAUAAAUCUCUGGCUGCGUCCGAAAUCGCAUACUACUUGUGAGUGAUAAUAUAAUCUCUCUACAACAGAAGAGAAGCUCCAAAAUUGCAAAGUUUCUGAAGGGAGCUGCUGACAGAAAUGCAGGAAACACAGAUUCUCCUAUGGUGAUGGCCGUGCAGCAGAGUUGGAGCAGACCUCGUGUCUGACAACAUCUCUAAGGCGCUAUGAACCAUAUGACUAGAUCCUAUGUACCCAGCCUCAAUCAUUCAUCAAAAGGACUGUGGAAGCGGGAACUCUUUGAACCACCAGUGGCAGUUUCCACGGGAUGAAAAAGGGCAUACUAGUGGAUGAUGGGGGUACUGACAUUAACCUACUGUAUUCACUGUAUAACACACUAGGGAUGGGCAUUUUUGUCAGUUUUUCAUUUCAAGUACUGGUGGUUUUGAUUUUGUCUGGAUGGCAUGCUGUCCUAACACUAACUAGUCAGAGCUCAGGUACCACCCAAACUGCUGCCAUAACCAGUCAGAAAAAGAGAAAUAUAUAAAGUCAGGUGAUCAUCGAGUACUCAGACUUGACAGCGAUGAUUGAGCAUGAAAACGAUGAACUUUUAAAAAUGAUCAAUGAUUGCUGUCAAGUCUGAGUACUCUAGUA
Long non-coding RNA from Onychostoma macrolepis, 675 nucleotides. RefSeq lists it as uncharacterized. The transcript has 4 exons. The record is from RefSeq and is a predicted model, not a curated record. NCBI's taxonomy places the organism in Eukaryota, Metazoa, Chordata, Actinopteri, Cypriniformes, Cyprinidae.